This is a long non-coding RNA of Saccostrea echinata, 418 nucleotides long. RefSeq lists it as uncharacterized. The record is from RefSeq and is a predicted model, not a curated record. Lineage: Eukaryota; Metazoa; Mollusca; Bivalvia; Ostreida; Ostreidae. The transcript has 3 exons.
ACCUCAGUCACUCGCUGAAACAGCUACAUGUUUAAGCGAUUGUCCUAGCAUGAUGUUUUUCAAUGCGACUUCUUCCGAUUGUGUCCUAUGUAAUUGUAACAACAACACCACAGAUUCAUGUAACCAGACGACAGGAGAGUGCACGUGCAAGACUGGGUUCUAUGGACCAUCAUGUGAUUGCAUCAAAAAUCAGCACAACUGCAACAAUACGUAUUCCUACUGUUCCUUUCAUGGAACCACACCUGUUUGUAAUUGUAGAGUCGGGUUUUAUGGGAGGAAUUUGGGCUGUUUCGAAUCACUAAGAUUCAUCAGGGAUACAGGAGUUUUGCAAUUGUAUCAUCAGGAUCAGUGGAUGCUAAUUGGUUUCAGUUACAGAUGGGAUGAGAAUGAAUCUAAAGUUAUUUGCACUCAGUUGGGU